RNAcentral lists this non-coding RNA (159 nucleotides) under uncultured Tidjanibacter sp. Lineage: Bacteria; Pseudomonadati; Bacteroidota; Bacteroidia; Bacteroidales; Rikenellaceae. The record is from RNAcentral.
CUUCGGGUCUCGAGGAUUAAAAGGGAAUCGGGUGAAAAUCCCGGACAGUCCCGCUGCUGUGAAGCUCCGCCAACCGCUCGAAUUUCUGUCAACCACUGAUCAUGUGUAUCGGGAAGGUUUCGGGUGGGGAGUCAGUCAGAAGACCUGCCAUCACUUUUG